AACGAACGCUGGCGGCAUGCCUAACACAUGCAAGUCGAACGAGACCUUCGGGUCUAGUGGCGCACGGGUGCGUAACGCGUGGGAACCUGCCCCUAGGUUCGGAAUAACUCCCCGAAAGGGGUGCUAAUACCGGAUAAUGUCUUCGGACCAAAGAUUUAUCGCCUUUGGAUGGGCCCGCGCUGGAUUAGCUAGUUGGUAGGGUAAAAGCCUACCAAGGUGACGAUCCAUAGCUGGUCUGAGAGGAUGAUCAGCCACACUGGGACUGAGACACGGCCCAGACUCCUACGGGAGGCAGCAGUGGGGAAUAUUGGACAAUGGGCGAAAGCCUGAUCCAGCAAUGCCGCGUGAGUGAUGAAGGCCUUAGGGUUGUAAAGCUCUUUUACCCGGGAUGAUAAUGACAGUACCGGGAGAAUAGGCUCCGGCUAACUCCGUG
Molecule: ribosomal RNA, 433 nt
Filed under: uncultured bacterium
Lineage: Bacteria
Description: partial 16S ribosomal RNA
Rfam family: Bacterial small subunit ribosomal RNA
Source: RNAcentral